RNAcentral lists this ribosomal RNA (523 nucleotides) under uncultured bacterium. RNAcentral's name for it is "bacterial SSU rRNA". It matches the Rfam family "Bacterial small subunit ribosomal RNA", at positions 9 to 527 of the family's 1533-position model. The record is from RNAcentral.
GAGUUUGAUCCUGGCUCAGAUUGAACGCUGGCGGCAUGCUUUACACAUGCAAGUCGAACGGUAACAGGGAGCUUGCUCCGCUGACGAGUGGCGAACGGGUGAGUAAUGCAUCGGAACGUACCCAGUCGUGGGGGAUAACGUAGCGAAAGUUACGCUAAUACCGCAUACGUCCUGAGGGAGAAAGCGGGGGACCGUAAGGCCUCGCGCGAUUGGAGCGGCCGAUGUCGGAUUAGCUAGUUGGUAGGGUAAAGGCCUACCAAGGCGCCGAUCCGUAGCGGGUCUGAGAGGAUGAUCCGCCACACUGGGACUGAGACACGGCCCAGACUCCUACGGGAGGCAGCAGUGGGGAAUUUUGGACAAUGGGCGAAAGCCUGAUCCAGCCAUGCCGCGUGAGUGAAGAAGGCCUUCGGGUUGUAAAGCUCUUUCAGCCGGAAAGAAAUCGCGCAGGAUAAUACUCUGCGUGGAUGACGGUACCGGAAGAAGAAGCACCGGCUAACUACGUGCCAGCAGCCGCGGUAAUGCC